Molecule: ribosomal RNA, 254 nt
Filed under: Sulfuritalea sp.
Lineage: Bacteria; Pseudomonadati; Pseudomonadota; Betaproteobacteria; Nitrosomonadales; Sterolibacteriaceae
Description: partial 23S ribosomal RNA
Rfam family: Bacterial large subunit ribosomal RNA
Source: RNAcentral
GGUCAAGUGACUAAGUGCAUGUGGUGGAUGCCUUGGCGAUUACAGGCGAUGAAGGACGUUGUAGCCUGCGAAAAGCUGCGGGGAGCUGGCAAACAAGCUUUGAUCCGCAGAUGUCCGAAUGGGGAAACCCACUCCGCAAGGAGUAUCCCUGACUGAAUACAUAGGUCAGUGGAAGCGAACCCGGCGAACUGAAACAUCUAAGUAGCCGGAGGAACAGAAAUCAACCGAGAUUCCCUAAGUAGUGGCGAGCGAAC